Molecule: ribosomal RNA, 255 nt
Filed under: uncultured bacterium
Lineage: Bacteria
Description: partial 16S ribosomal RNA
Rfam family: Bacterial small subunit ribosomal RNA
Source: RNAcentral
UACGGAGGGUGCAAGCGUUAUCCGGAUUCACUGGGUUUAAAGGGUGCGUAGGCGGGUUGGUAAGUCCGUGGUGAAAUCUCCGAGCUUAACUCGGAAACUGCCAUUGAUACUAUAGAUCUUGAAUUAUCUGGAGGUAAGCGGAAUAUGUCAUGUAGCGGUGAAAUGCUUAGAUAUGACAUAGAACACCAAUUGCGAAGGCAGCUUACUACGGAUCGAUUGACACUGAGGCACGAAAAGCGUGGGGAUCAAAACAGG